AGGGAUAUCCCAAGCGUCUAAUC
RNAcentral lists this unclassified non-coding RNA (23 nucleotides) under Mus musculus (house mouse). RNAcentral describes it as "oocyte_clustered_small_RNA3150". Lineage: Eukaryota; Metazoa; Chordata; Mammalia; Rodentia; Muridae. The record is from RNAcentral.